RNAcentral lists this ribosomal RNA (433 nucleotides) under uncultured bacterium. RNAcentral describes it as "partial 16S ribosomal RNA". It matches the Rfam family "Bacterial small subunit ribosomal RNA", at positions 29 to 507 of the family's 1533-position model. The record is from RNAcentral.
AACGAACGCUGGCGGCAGGCCUAACACAUGCAAGUCGAGCGAGGACUUCGGUUCUAGCGGCGGACGGGUGAGUAACGCGUGGGAAUGUGCCCUUCUCUACGGAAUAGCCCUGGGAAACUGGGAGUAAUACCGUAUACGCCCUAUUGGGGAAAGAUUUAUCGGAGAAGGAUCAGCCCGCGUUGGAUUAGGUAGUUGGUGGGGUAAUGGCCUACCAAGCCGACGAUCCAUAGCUGGUUUGAGAGGAUGAUCAGCCACACUGGGACUGAGACACGGCCCAGACUCCUACGGGAGGCAGCAGUGGGGAAUCUUAGACAAUGGGGGCAACCCUGAUCUAGCCAUGCCGCGUGAGUGAUGAAGGCCUUAGGUUUGUAAAGCUCUUUCAGCUGGGAAGAUAAUGACGGUACCAGCAGAAGAAGCCCCGGCUAACUCCGUG